Molecule: ribosomal RNA, 494 nt
Filed under: uncultured bacterium
Lineage: Bacteria
Description: partial 16S ribosomal RNA
Rfam family: Bacterial small subunit ribosomal RNA
Source: RNAcentral
GACGAACGCUGGCGGCGUGCUUAACACAUGCAAGUCGAACGGAAAGGCCUGCUUUCCCUUGUGGAUUGCGGGUACUCGAGUGGCGAACGGGUGAGUAACACGUGAGUGAUCUGCCCCCAACUUGGGUAUAAGCCUGGGAAACUGGGUCUAAUUCCCGAUAGGACUGCAGGGUGGUGCCUGUGAUGGAAAACGAUUUUCUAGUGGUUGGGGAUGAGCUCGCGGCCUAUCAGCUUGUUGGUGGGGUAAUGGCCUACCAAGGCGGCGACGGGUAGCCGGCCUGGGAGGGUGGACGGCCACAUUGGGACUGAGAUACGGCCCAGACUCCUACGGGAGGCAGCAGUGGGGAAUAUUGCACAAUGGGCGGAAGCCUGAUGCAGCGACGCCGCGUGGGGGAUGACGGCCUUCGGGUUGUAAACUCCUUUCGACCGCGAGGAAGCCACCUGGUUGGAAGGGUGGUGACGGUAGUGGUAGAAGAAGCACCGGCUAACUACGUG